GGUGAGUCCUCUCUCUUGCUCUUGCUUGCUUGCACUGAUGAAGUAAGCUGCCACGUUGUGAGAUGCUCAACGAAGAGGCCCAUGAGGCAGGGCACCGAGGGAGGCUUCUGGCCAACAGCUCCUGGGGAACCAAGGCCUUAGGAAGUGAGUCCUGCCAACAAUAACGAGAGCCUUGAACUUUGAAACCACAGUACCUUGUUCCAGCGUGGAAAGCAGCGUGGCACUUCCCGGUGGUGAAAGCACCCCAGCUUGAAAGGGUGAAAACACCUUCUCCCAGAUAGUCUCCCUUUGUUUAGCCAGUGCUUUUGCCUUAAGGAAAUCAAAUGAAGGGGUCAGCCAGGAGUGGAUCUGGAAGCUGGAGAACUCUCAAUACGCCACUUCAGUUUAUUGACGACAUUUAUAAUUGCAACCGAAGUUGACUGAUUUCUGCUAAAUGAAAGUUUGCGCUUUGCCCUUUAGCAUUGAGGCUCCUGGAAAGAACUUCAAUGAAAUUGGAUGCAUUGAGACCAAAGAAAAGAAGGGGACAUUUUUAUCUCUCUGAUACCUUUCUCCCCAGGGCUUGGAAACACUUCUUAAACACAACCUCUAAUGUUGGUGUUUUAUUUGAGGCUUAAGCAACUUCUUCCGGGGAAGAGUGCCAGUGCAGCCACUGUUACAAUUCAAGAUCUUGAUCUAUAUCCAUAGAUUGGAAUAU
Molecule: long non-coding RNA, 694 nt
Filed under: Homo sapiens (human)
Lineage: Eukaryota; Metazoa; Chordata; Mammalia; Primates; Hominidae
Description: non-protein coding lnc-NUMB-1:7
Source: RNAcentral